GAUGAAGAACCAGCGAAAUGCGAUAAGUAAUGUGAAUUGCAGAAUUCAGUGAAUCAUCGAAUCUUUGAACGCACAUUGCGCCCGUCAGUAUUCUGGCGGGCAUGCCUGUUCGAGCGUCAUUACGCCCCUCAAGUCCCCUGUGGACUUGGUGUUGGGGAUCGGCGAGGCUGGUUUUCCAGCACAGCCGUCCCUUAAAUUAAUUGGCGGUCUCGCCGUGGCCCUCCUCUGCGCAGUAGUAAAACACUCGCAACAGGAGCCCGGCGCGGUCCACUGCCGUAAAACCCCCCAACUUUUUAUAGUUGACCUCGAAUCAGGUAGGACUACCCGCUGAACUUAAGCAUAUCAAUAAGCGGAGGA
Molecule: unclassified non-coding RNA, 357 nt
Filed under: soil metagenome
Description: partial contains 5.8S ribosomal RNA, internal transcribed spacer 2, and large subunit ribosomal RNA
Rfam family: 5.8S ribosomal RNA (bases 1-119)
Source: RNAcentral